UACAGAGGUCUCAAGCGUUGUUCGGAUUCAUUGGGCGUAAAGGGUGUGUAGGUGGCGCGCUAAGUCGGGUGUGAAAUUUCGGAGCUUAACUCCGAAACUGCAUUCGAUACUGCGGUGCUUGAGGACUGGAGAGGAGACUGGAAUUCAUGGUGUAGCAGUGAAAUGCGUAGAGAUCAUGAGGAAGACCAGUGGCGAAGGCGGGUCUCUGGACAGUUCCUGACACUGAGGCACGAAGGCCAGGGGAGCAAACGGG
RNAcentral lists this ribosomal RNA (253 nucleotides) under uncultured bacterium. RNAcentral's name for it is "partial 16S ribosomal RNA". It matches the Rfam family "Bacterial small subunit ribosomal RNA", at positions 524 to 776 of the family's 1533-position model. The record is from RNAcentral.